RNAcentral lists this ribosomal RNA (373 nucleotides) under Macrobrachium carcinus. Its description in RNAcentral is "partial 16S ribosomal RNA". It matches the Rfam family "Bacterial large subunit ribosomal RNA", at positions 1951 to 2533 of the family's 2925-position model. The record is from RNAcentral. Lineage: Eukaryota; Metazoa; Arthropoda; Malacostraca; Decapoda; Palaemonidae.
CGAAGGUAGCAUAGUCAGUAGUCUUUUAAUUGGAGGCUUGUAUGAAUGGUUGGACGAGGGACAAGCUGUCUCUUUUACGGAGUUUGAAUUUAACUUUUGAGUGAAAAGGCUCAAAUUAUUUAGUGGGACGAUAAGACCCUAUAAAACUUUAUACAGGUUGGGUUAAAUUUGUGAUUUGUGUGAAAAGUAGUUUUAUUUGACCUGUAUUUUGUUGGGGCGACAUAGAUAUAAUAUGUAACUGUCUAUUAGAUUUAAUAGUGUUAAUUAGUUUUUGAUCCUUCUUUGUGGAUUAGAAGAAUAAGUUACUUUAGGGAUAACAGCGUGAUUUUCCUUGAGAGUUCCUAUCGACAGGAGUAGUUGCGACCUCGAUGUU